AUUGAACGCUGGCGGCAUGCCUUACACAUGCAAGUCGAACGGUAACAGGUCUUCGGAUGCUGACGAGUGGCGAACGGGUGAGUAAUACAUCGGAACGUGCCUAGUAGUGGGGGAUAACUACUCGAAAGAGUGGCUAAUACCGCAUGAGAUCUACGGAUGAAAGCAGGGGAUCGCAAGACCUUGUGCUACUAGAGCGGCCGAUGGCAGAUUAGGUAGUUGGUGGGAUAAAAGCUUACCAAGCCGACGAUCUGUAGCUGGUCUGAGAGGACGGUCGGUCACACUGGGACUGAGACACGGCCCGGACUCCUACGGGAGGCAGCAGUGGGGAAUUUUGGACAAUGGGCGCAAGCCUGAUUCAGCAAUGCCGCGUGCAGGAUGAAGGCCUUCGGGUUGUAAACUGCUUUUGUACGGAACGAAAAGCCCCGGGUUAAUACCCUGGGGUCAUGACGGUACCGUAAGAAUAAGCACCGGCUAACUACGUGCCAGCCGCCGCCGUAA
Molecule: ribosomal RNA, 498 nt
Filed under: uncultured bacterium
Lineage: Bacteria
Description: partial 16S ribosomal RNA
Rfam family: Bacterial small subunit ribosomal RNA
Source: RNAcentral